UGGGGAAUAUUGGACAAUGGGGGAAACCCUGAUCCAGCGACGCCGCGUGUGUGAAGAAGGCCUGCGGGUUGUAAAGCACUUUCGGUGGGAACGAAAUAUGCCGGGCUAAUACCCCGGUAGGCUGACGUUACUCAAUGAAGAAGCACCGGCUAACUCUGUGCCAGCAGCCGCGGUAAUACAGAGGGUGCGAGCGUUAAUCGGAAUUACUGGGCGUAAAGCGCACGUAGGUGGCGACGUAAGUCGGGUGUGAAAGCCCCGGGCUCAACCUGGGAACCGCAUUCGAGACUGUGUUGCUGGAGUACGGAAGAGGAGGGCGGAAUUCCCGGUGUAGCGGUGAAAUGCGUAGAUAUCGUCAAGAACACCGAUAGCGAAGGCAGCUUACCAAGCUGUAACUGACACUGAGGCACGAAAGUGUGGGGAUCAAACAGGAUUAGAUACCCCAGUAGUCCCUGAGCGGGCUGGCAAGGCGCAU
Molecule: ribosomal RNA, 472 nt
Filed under: uncultured bacterium
Lineage: Bacteria
Description: bacterial SSU rRNA
Rfam family: Bacterial small subunit ribosomal RNA
Source: RNAcentral